RNAcentral lists this ribosomal RNA (253 nucleotides) under uncultured bacterium. Its description in RNAcentral is "partial 16S ribosomal RNA". It matches the Rfam family "Bacterial small subunit ribosomal RNA", at positions 524 to 776 of the family's 1533-position model. The record is from RNAcentral.
CACGUAGGGCGCAAGCGUUGUCCGGAAUUAUUGGGCGUAAAGAGCUCGUAGGCGGUCUGUUGCGUCCGCUGUGAAAACUCGGGGCUUAACCCCGAGCCUGCAGUGGAUACGGGCAGACUAGAGGUAGGUAGGGGAGAAUGGAAUUCCUGGUGUAGCGGUGGAAUGCGCAGAUAUCAGGAGGAACACCAAUAGCGAAGGCAGCUCGCUGGGACGUUACUGACACUAAGGCGCGAAAGCGUGGGGAGCGAACAGG